GCUAAAAGAAAGGUGCAUAUAUAAAAAUUUAUAAUAAUGAUGUUUACAUAUAUAUACUUGGAUUCCUCACUGAUGGUCCACCUCUUGCGUAUUCAUCCUUUUAUUAACGCGCAGACAAGAUUUAAACAAAUUUAAUUAGUACAGACUGUGAGACCCAAUUGUAUUGCCUUGUUCAGUCACUGCCAUCGAUUAAUUGGUAAUCGAAUAAUGGGUGUAAUUCGACUAGACCCUGUAACUAGGAGCAACUUGGCUUUAGCCAGUUUAACAGUAGUCCACCGUUAUCAAAUAACAAAACCAAAACAAGUACACUUCUCCAUGGACUUAAUAUUGUUUUCUGAAUUGUCCAAAGAAGGAGACCAUCACUGAACUGUUAGAACA
This 378-nucleotide long non-coding RNA is filed under the name Phoenix dactylifera (date palm). RNAcentral describes it as "long non-coding RNA (PDAC_LNC004677)". Lineage: Eukaryota; Viridiplantae; Streptophyta; Magnoliopsida; Arecales; Arecaceae. The record is from RNAcentral.